This is an RNA transcript of Manduca sexta (tobacco hornworm), 1591 nucleotides long. RefSeq lists it as uncharacterized. The record is from RefSeq and is a predicted model, not a curated record. NCBI's taxonomy places the organism in Eukaryota, Metazoa, Arthropoda, Insecta, Lepidoptera, Sphingidae. The transcript is spliced from 3 exons.
UUUGAUUCUGAAACAAGAAAACAUCUUCCGUCUUAUUACAAAAAGCGAUAUAAACCUUAGCUUAAACCUGUACUAACAAAACCAGGCUUAUCUGAGAAACCAUGGUUUAAAUUUGUCCGUAUUACAAAACUCAUAAAAACCGUAGACUUCUUAGUACUGCCAUCUGAACUAUGGCCUAUAUAUAAACCACAGACAAAUACAAACAACAUUCGUUCAAUACGAUAUCAUUCAAUCGCAACGUUCCAUAUACACAAAAAUGAAAACGUUUUCAAACAAUGUUAAUGAUUAAAUAAUGUUUAGGAGUAUUAAAAAUAUUAAGACGUGGUUAUUUUGCUCCAAGAUAAAUAAUAGUUGUAACUUCGAUUGCACUUUUUUUUAGGUUUCAAGUUUUGACUAAUGUUGUAUUAGCUGGUAAUACAUCUAAAUGCGUGUUACGAAACGUAAGCUUCCCGCGCGUUAUAUGAAACCAUAACAAUAAACAAAACUAUUGCGGUAACUUUUGCAAAUAGCUUUAGAAUUUAUUAUCAGUGUAUUAUUAUAUAGAAUAAUUGACUAUUUGUACUAUUGUGAUGGAUAACCGAAAGAAAAAAAGAUCUGAAAAUUGGAGUACUGAGGAAAAAGUAAGUAAACAAAAAAUCCGUCAUAUAGUUUUUAAUUUGUUAAAUAUAAUAGAUGGAUUUCAAGCUAAACGACAUUUAAAAUGUUAUAGGAUGUACUACGUGAAUUAAUUGCACAAUCACGCCAUAUUAUAAAGAACAAAAAUACAAAAGCUUCAUCCAACAAGAAAAAGACUGAAGAAUGGAAAAACAUAGCACAGAGGAUCAAUGUACUCAUGGGAAAGAAUAGGUCUGAUGGUGAUGUUAAAUUAGCGUGGAAAAGAAUGAAGCUUGCUGCUAAAGCUAAUUUGUCCACCCAUAGAAAUCACCAAAUGCAGACAGGGGGUGGUGAAAAGCCUAAGUCACCUUCGCAAGAAGAUCUAGCGAUUAUGGCUAUUGCUCCACAUGAUUUUAUUGUGGAAUUCAAUAACUAUGACAGUGAUGCUAACAAAACAGCUGUUAGCACAAUUGAUUUUUAUUUAUUAUUGUAAAAUACUGCUUAAAUUAAUAUAAAAAUAAUAAUUUAACAAUAUAAUGAAUAUUUUUAGGUUCAAUUACAACCCCUAGAAGUUAAGGAAGUAAUAGCUGGAUCUAGUAGUGCUUUUACUCCUUCAAACAUGCCCCUUGAAUACAAUGAUGUGGUAGAAGUGAUAAUGGACCAAAGUAAAAAUUAUAUUUAAUUAAAAUCUUCUUUAAUAUAUUAUAUAUUGUAACCUGUAAUCAUAUUACGAAUAUUUAAAGGAAAAUAAAAGUACGCAAAUAAAACAUGAAAAUGAGACUUUAUUUUAGUCUAUAUUAAUACAACUAAAAUACUUUCAGAUGCCCCAAAUGAAAAUGUGACGACUGCCGUUACUACUGACGAAAAAAAAACAACAUUCAUAAUAAAAAGGGCCCUCAAAAUAUAAAAGUAGCAACACAAGAAAAAAUAUUAGAGAGUAACACUCAAUUUAAAAAAAAACAACUGGAAAUGCUAGCAGAAGAACAUGAAUACAAAA